CCCUUAGAUGUUCUGGGCCGCACGCGCGCUACACUGGUCGAUGCAACGAGUUUCUUUCCUUGGCCGACAGGCCUGGGCAAUCUUUGAACAACGAUCGUGAUCGGGAUAGAUUCUUGUAAUUUUUGAUCUUAAACGAGGAAUUCCUAGUAAACGCAAGUCAUCAGCCUGCAUUGAUUACGUCCCUGCCCUUUGUACACACCGCCCGUCGCACCUACCGAUUGAAUGGUCCGGUGAAAUCUCCGGACUGGCGUGAGUCGGAGCAAUCUGACAAACGCCGGAAAGUUGAUUAAACCUUACCAUUUAGAGGAAGGUGAAGUCGUAACA
Molecule: ribosomal RNA, 324 nt
Filed under: uncultured eukaryote
Lineage: Eukaryota
Description: partial 18S ribosomal RNA
Rfam family: Eukaryotic small subunit ribosomal RNA
Source: RNAcentral